AAUUUAGGAAAUCAUUGGCCUCAAUAUCACCCUGAAUGACUGUCAUCUUUCCUCCCUGGGAGUGCAUUGACAGGAAUAAUGAUGCACAGGUAAAAGAGCUGCCUUUAUCCAUUCUGUGAGGCCUCUGAACAACAAGUACACCAAAUCCAAUUGAUGCCUGCAUUCUGUUGGCCUCUCACUUCAAAUCCAUGUUCAGCCUUUUUAGAAGGCUGCGAAAGAAUGCAGGGGUGUUCCGGUAUGUGCCUGGGAUUUGUUGGGAAAGGGUAAGGAGUAUUGUGUUAAGACAGAAAAGGAACAUUUAUUGCUGCCAUAAUCAGAGGAGUUGUGCUAUUGUGGGCUGAAUUCAGAGAUAGUUUUUUUUUUUUUUUUUUAAAAAAAAAAAAAAAAAGAGAGAGAAAGAAAGAAAACUGUGUUGCAUUGAGUCAACUUUUUUUUUUUUUGUGCACAGCUGAAACAAUUUUACACCUCCCCACAGUUUGACUGACUGCACUUUAGAAACAUGUCUGAUUUCCCGUCACUGUUAGAAACAAAACACAAAAGGUGCAGAAUUAGACUUCAUAAUCUAAAAUAUCUGUCAUUUCAUUGCUGAGUUUUCUUGCUUAGUCUUUG
This 609-nucleotide long non-coding RNA is filed under the name Anas platyrhynchos platyrhynchos (common mallard). Its description in RNAcentral is "lncRNA (ENSAPLG00000026008.1)". The record is from RNAcentral. Lineage: Eukaryota; Metazoa; Chordata; Aves; Anseriformes; Anatidae.